Molecule: RNA transcript, 2191 nt
Organism: Oncorhynchus nerka (sockeye salmon)
Lineage: Eukaryota; Metazoa; Chordata; Actinopteri; Salmoniformes; Salmonidae
Gene name: atlastin-2-like
Exons: 14
Source: RefSeq, a predicted model, not a curated record
AACUGAAUUUGAUUAUUUUCAACGGGUCAAGAUGGCGGAGGAGAGCAGGUUGAAGCAUCGGAAUCACUCUCCGCAAAAUUGCAAAAACAGCAUUUUCGGCGAAGGUGAGCAUGGGGUGGAGGGUGUGCCUCAUAAGAUGAGCCCUGAGGAAGAGGAGGUCCUGUUGUCGGAGGAAGAGGCCUUGUCGGCCAGGCCGGUCCAGAUCGUUGUGGCUCACGAGGACGACCACGCCUUUGAGCUCGACGAGGCGGCGCUGGAGCGCAUCCUGCUGCAGGAGCAUGUACGCGACCUCAACGUGGUGGUGGUGUCGGUGGCCGGUGCCUUCCGCAAGGGCAAGUCCUUCCUGCUGGACUUCAUGCUGCGCUUCAUGUACAACCAGACAUCUUGCUCCUGGCUGGGUGGGCACGAGGAGCCACUGACGGGCUUCACCUGGCGGGGGGGCUGCGAGAGGGAGACCACAGGCAUCCUGGCCUGGAGCGAGGUGUUUGUGGUGGACAAGCCAGACGGGAGCAAGGUUGCUGUUCUUCUAAUCGACACACAGGGGGCUUUCGACAGCCAAUCGACCAUCAAAGAUUGUGCGACGCUGUUUGCGUUGAGCACCAUGACCAGCUCUGUACAGGUUUACAACUUGUCUCAGAAUGUGCAGGAAGACGACCUUCAACAUCUCCAGCUCUUUACUGAAUAUGGGAGGCUGGCCUUGGAAGAAAUCUACGAGAAACCAUUUCAGACUUUAAUGUUUCUUAUAAGAGACUGGAGCUACCCUUACGAGCAUUCUUACGGCUUAGAGGGAGGGAAGAGUUUCCUGGAGAAGAGAUUACAAGUGAAACAGAACCAGCACGAGGAGCUGCAGAAUGUCAGGAAGCACAUCCACUCCUGCUUCUCGAACAUAGGCUGCUUCCUCCUGCCACACCCCGGCCUCAAGGUGGCCACCAACCCCAACUUUGAUGGCAGACUCACAGAUAUUGAUGACGAUUUCAAGACUGAGCUCGUCAACCUAGUGCCCAUCUUGUUGUCCCCGGAGAACUUGGUGGAGAAAGAAAUCGGAGGAUCCAAAGUGACGUGCCGAGACCUUGUACAGUAUUUUAAAGCAUACAUGAAAAUAUACCAAGGGGAGGAGCUGCCUCAUCCCAAGUCAAUGUUACAGGCAACGGCUGAAGCCAACAACCUCGCAGCUGUUGCAGGAGCAAAAGACAUUUACAACAAAGGCAUGGAGCAGGUGUGCGGAGGCGACAAGCCCUACAUGGCCCCCGAUCAACUGGAGUGCGGCCACGCGAACCUGCUGAAGGUGGCGGUCAAACACUUCCGCUCGGUCAAGAAAAUGGGCGGCGAGGACUUCUGCCGGUGCUACCAGGAGCAGCUGGAAGCAGAGCUGGACGAGGCCUUCACUAACUUCAUCAAACACAACGAUGGCAAGAACAUCUUCUACGCUGCGCGCACGCCCGCCACGCUCUUCGCCGUCAUGUUCGCCAUGUACGUGGCGUCGCUGGUCACAGGCUUCCUGGGUAUCAACACAGUGGCCACGGUGUGUAAUCUCAUAAUGGGCGUGGCACUGGCUGCGCUCUGCCUUUGGGCCUAUGUGAAGUAUUCCGGCGAGUUCCGCGAGGUGGGCAGUGUCAUCGACCAGGUGGCCGAGACCCUGUGGGAGCAGAGAGCGUUUGCUCCCAAGCUCUUUGUCCUGUUCUUUUCCUAACCUGUUUGAAUGUGACCGAAUGUGAUUCUCUUUCCUCCCCCUCAAACCAGAAUCUUCCCAAAUCAAGUUUAUUUUCCUCAUCAGCCUCUCUUCCCUUUCCUUGUUCCCCAUCUGCCUUUGUCUCUCUGGUUGCACCCUGAUUCUUUACCCUUUCUCCAGAUGUGUGCGCCCGCCAUGGAUUUAAAAUAAAUGUAUUGGUGUAAGCGUUGGCUUGAGGGAAUUUCAACCAUUGUUAAAUCCAUGAGAGGGAGGGUGCAAGUGCACACUUUGGAAGGAGGGAAAGAUAAUUGGGACACCUCCCUCACUACUUUCCCCACUAAUUAGUCUUCCCUCUUUUUGUCUUUAAAAAAAAACUUUGUGCUUGCCACAGAGGACGCCACGAAAGAUCUUUUCCAAACUCUUUGAGGUGGCGAGGAGUCGAGUCCAGUUGGAUUCCUUGAUAACGGCCCAGAGAACGAGACUGGCCUCGAACAACAAUGUCAAGAAGAAAAACUAGCACCU